RNAcentral lists this ribosomal RNA (497 nucleotides) under uncultured bacterium. RNAcentral's name for it is "partial 16S ribosomal RNA". It matches the Rfam family "Bacterial small subunit ribosomal RNA", at positions 28 to 507 of the family's 1533-position model. The record is from RNAcentral.
GAUGAACGCUGGCGGCGUGCCUAAUACAUGCAAGUCGAGCGAACAGACGAGGAGCUUGCUCCUCUGACGUUAGCGGCGGACGGGUGAGUAACACGUGGAUAACCUACCUAUAAGACUGGGAUAACUUCGGGAAACCGGAGCUAAUACCGGAUAAUAUAUUGAACCGCGUGGUUCAAUAGUGAAAGACGGUUUUGCUGUCACUUAUAGAUGGAUCCGCGCCGCAUUAGCUAGUUGGUAAGGUAACGGCUUACCAAGGCGACGAUGCGUAGCCGACCUGAGAGGGGGAUCGGCCACACUGGAACUGAGACACGGUCCAGACUCCUACGGGAGGCAGCAGUAGGGAAUCUUCCGCAAUGGGCGAAAGCCUGACGGAGCAACGCCGCGUGAGUGAUGAAGGUCUUCGGAUCGUAAAACUCUGUUAUUAGGGAAGAACAAAUGUGUAAGUAACUAUGCACGUCUUGACGGUACCUAAUCAGAAAGCCACGGCUAACUACGUG